GCCAGGCGUGGUGGUGCACGCCUGUAAUCCCAGCAAUUUGGGAGGCUGAGGCAGGAGGAUUGGAAGUUGGAGGCCAGUCUCAGCAACUCAGUGAGGCCCUGUCUCAA
Molecule: small RNA, 107 nt
Filed under: Marmota monax (woodchuck)
Lineage: Eukaryota; Metazoa; Chordata; Mammalia; Rodentia; Sciuridae
Source: RNAcentral